CCUACGGGUGGCAGCAGUGGGGAAUAUUGCACAAUGGGCGAAAGCCUGACGCAGCGACGCCGCGUGAGUGAUGAAGGUCUUCGGAUCGUAAACCUCUGUCAGCAGGGAAGAACGGUCACGGUGCUAAUCAGCAGUGAAUUGACGGUACCUGCAAAGGAAGCACCGGCUAACUCCGUGCCAGCAGCCGCGGUAAUACGGAGGGUGCGAGCGUUAAUCGGAAUUACUGGGCGUAAAGCGCUCGUAGGCGGUAUGUCAAGUCAAGGGUGAAAUCCCCGCGCUGAACGUGGGAACUGCAUUUGAAACUGGCAGACUGGAGUGUGUGAGAGGAUAGUGGAAGUCCAGGUGUAGGAGUGAAAUCCGUAGAUAUAUGGAGGAACAUCAGUGGCGAAGGCGACUAUCUGGCACAUAACUGACGCUGAGGAGCGAAAGCGUGGGUAGCAAACAGGAUUAGAUACCCCGGUAGUC
This 465-nucleotide ribosomal RNA is filed under the name uncultured bacterium. RNAcentral describes it as "partial 16S ribosomal RNA". It matches the Rfam family "Bacterial small subunit ribosomal RNA", at positions 338 to 795 of the family's 1533-position model. The record is from RNAcentral.